ACUCAACACUAAUUUGUUUGAAAAGGGUGAGUUUAGAUUGUAAAAGCAGGCCUCCUUGUAGAGGAUCCUUGAGCAAUCUGUUAGCCCUAAACCUGUUUCUUGGAGUUU
RNAcentral lists this small RNA (108 nucleotides) under Eudoraea sp. RNAcentral's name for it is "6S RNA". It matches the Rfam family "6S-Flavo RNA". Lineage: Bacteria; Pseudomonadati; Bacteroidota; Flavobacteriia; Flavobacteriales; Flavobacteriaceae. The record is from RNAcentral.